AGCAGUCGCCGCGGUAAAACGAAGGGUGCAAGCGUUAAUCGGAAUUACUGGGCGUAAAGCGUGCGUAGGCGGCUUGGUAAGUUAGAGGUGAAAGCCUGGAGCUCAACUCCAGAAUUGCCUUUAAGACUGCCGAGCUAGCAGGUGAGAGAGGUAAGUGGAAUUCCGAGUGUAGAGGUGAAAUUCGUAGAUAUUCGGAAGAACACCAGUGGCGAAGGCGGCUUACUGGCUCAUACUGGACGCUGAGGUGCGAAAGCGUGGGGAGCAAACAGGAUUAGAUACCCCAGUAGUCCCUGUCUCUUAUAC
Molecule: ribosomal RNA, 303 nt
Filed under: uncultured bacterium
Lineage: Bacteria
Description: partial 16S ribosomal RNA
Rfam family: Bacterial small subunit ribosomal RNA
Source: RNAcentral